CUUUUGUCCCGAAAAUAAGUGAGCUACUUUUACUUCUAUUAAGAAUUAAAAGAAAACUGUCGCAAAAAUUUUUAAAGAAACUAAAGUAGAGAUUAAAUGUCUUCGCACUUAUUGAUAUCUGGCUAUUUCUAAAAGUAUUAAUACUUAUCUUUAUUAGAAGAACUACUUUUGGGAUAAGCUAAAGGUAGAAUAGAGAUUUUUCCCAUAAUAAAAACUUUUUAUUUUAGACCUAGCAAUAGUCAUAAAUAAGCCCUGUAACAAGGCUAAAAAUUAAAUUUUUAAAAUACUAUUUAUGUAAAAAAUCUUUUCUAAGAAAUACUAAAAAAAAACCAUCUUUUUAAUUAAAAUGAUAACAUUAGUAUAAAAAUUACCUAAACAUCUUUUUUCUACAAAAAUAUAGGAAAGGAACUUGGCAAAAAUGGACCACGACUGUUUACCAAAGACAUAGCUUCUAGAAACUAUUAGAAGUCAUACCUGCCCAGUGUGAAAAUAAACGGCCGCGCAAGUGCUAAGGUAGCGUAAUAAUUUGUCUCUUCAUUGGAGACUAGUAUGAAAGGAGUAACGAAGUCCAACUGUCUCCCCUACACCUUUAAAAAUUAAUAUGGAAGUGAAAAAUCCUCCUAUAUUUUUAUGAAGGACGAGAAGACCCUAUAGAGUUUUAGCAUAUAUUAUUUCUAUUAAUAUUAAAAAUAAAAACUGCUUUUAUUGGGGCAAUACAAGAACAAAACAAAAUCUUAUAUUAUAUAACCUCAAAGAGAAAAAAAAACUUAAACUACCUUAGGGGAUAACAGCGCAAUUUUACCAGAGAGAUCUAAUCGAAGGUAAAGUUUGCGAC
This 835-nucleotide ribosomal RNA is filed under the name Hippomenella vellicata. RNAcentral describes it as "partial 16S ribosomal RNA". The stretch from base 340 to 575 matches the Rfam family "Bacterial large subunit ribosomal RNA", at positions 1720 to 2018 of the family's 2925-position model. Lineage: Eukaryota; Metazoa; Bryozoa; Gymnolaemata; Cheilostomatida; Escharinidae. The record is from RNAcentral.